This 501-nucleotide ribosomal RNA is filed under the name uncultured bacterium. Its description in RNAcentral is "partial 16S ribosomal RNA". It matches the Rfam family "Bacterial small subunit ribosomal RNA", at positions 28 to 523 of the family's 1533-position model. The record is from RNAcentral.
GAUGAACGCUAGCGGCAGGCUUAAUACAUGCAAGUCGAGGGGCAGCGCAGUGUAGCAAUACAUGGGCGGCGACCGGCAAACGGGUGCGGAACACGUACGCAACCUUCCUUUAACUGGGAGAUAGCCCACCGAAAGGUGGAUUAAUAUCCCAUAGUAUAUUUGAAUGGCAUCAUUUAGAUAUUAAAGCUCCGGCGGUUAAAGAUGGGCGUGCGUCUGAUUAGGUAGUUGGCGGGGUAACGGCCCACCAAGCCCACGAACAGUAGCUGAUGUGAGAGCAUGAUCAGCCACACGAGCACUGAGAAACGGGCCCGACUCCUACGGGAGGCAGCAGUAAGGAAUAUUGGUCAAUGGACGCAAGUCUGAACCAGCCAUGCCGCGUGGAGGAUGAAGGCCCUCUGGGUUGUAAACUUCUUUUCUUUGGGACGAAACCCCUGUUUCUACGGGGACUGACGGUACCAGAGGAAUAAGCACCGGCUAACUCCGUGCCAGCCGCCGCAGUAA